This 769-nucleotide long non-coding RNA is filed under the name Gossypium barbadense (sea-island cotton). RNAcentral describes it as "long non-coding RNA (GBAR_LNC019850)". The record is from RNAcentral. Lineage: Eukaryota; Viridiplantae; Streptophyta; Magnoliopsida; Malvales; Malvaceae.
CCCACUUUUGCUUUCUGCUGGGGUUUCAUACCCAGGCCGCACCACUGCCGUCUUAUCACCCUCCACCGCGACUCCGCGUAAUCGGAGAUCAGAGGGGUGCCAAAUCUGGGUUCUUAAACCCUUCUUAACAGCUUUCAAAGGCCAAGGUAAGUCUCAUUCCCUUUAUUCUUUUUAUUUUUCGCAAUAUAGAACCAAAACAGAAAAAGAACAGGAAAAUCUAAAAAAACCAAUCCAAUGAUCACCUUUUUUAAAGAAUAAAUAAUCGAUUUCCUCUCCCACCUUUUUUUUCUCUUUACAGAUUUUCAAUCGGUUUAUAUAACCAAAAUAAAGGAAAAAUAAAAUCUAAACGAAAAUCACUAUUUCCUAUUAUUGUUGCGCUGUUAUUUUUUGUUAUUUCCUUCUUUCUCGUUGUUGUUUAAUUGAUGUUUGUUGCUGCAGAUUUGUGCGCGACGUGCGCAGGGGAGAGUCAUGCUGCGACAUUCGCGGCGGCUAGGGUGAGGCUGCUGUUGGGAUGUGCGGCUAAUUGCUUAGGGUUUCUAUUUUGGUGGUUUGGGUAAUUGUUUGGGUAAUUAGGUUUAAGUGGGUAUUGGGCUGUUAAUUGGUUUUGGCCCGGGCAUAUUUGGGCUUGUACAAUCUCAGUGGGAGGUUGUUAUUUUGGUUUGGUUACAAAAUAAAUUAUCUGUUUUGGUAUCCGUAAUUUGAUCAAAUUACUCAAUGCUUUUAUUUUUUCAUUUUCUAACUCAAGAACCCUAGGGACCCUUAUUCUGUC